GUUGUCGCUAGGCGGGAUCUGAAGGAAGCGUGAAAGCCGCGACCUGACGAACAGAAAUCGGGUGUGAGGCCUACCCAGGCGGGCGAGCGAGCAAUGGAUCGUGAAGUCCAUAACCAUCAAGGGCUGGGGUGGUAAACCUAGCAGGUGUGCGGUGAAGGCGGU
Molecule: non-coding RNA, 162 nt
Organism: Candidatus Burkholderia crenata
Lineage: Bacteria; Pseudomonadati; Pseudomonadota; Betaproteobacteria; Burkholderiales; Burkholderiaceae
Source: Rfam